Rhineura floridana is the source of this 1097-nucleotide long non-coding RNA. RefSeq lists it as uncharacterized. Lineage: Eukaryota; Metazoa; Chordata; Lepidosauria; Squamata; Rhineuridae. The record is from RefSeq and is a predicted model, not a curated record. The transcript is spliced from 5 exons.
CAACCACUGCUGGUCAUUCAGUUCAGCCCUGGGCUCCUGCUGGGAGGAAGGGCAGGAUAUAAAUCAAGCAAGCAAGCAAUACAUAAAUAAAUAGGCAUAUUCACACCAUUAUUUCCUGCCUUGAAGAUGGUUCAGGAAUUUUUCUGGAGUGCACUGGGGAUCCCAAGGGCCGUUUGAUGGCCCUGGCUUGGUGACAAUAGGCACUUGGUGUGUCGAGCUGGUGAGCUGACCAAAGUUAUAGAUGCCUCUGAGGAAUGACAGCCAGCCUAAAACCGCGGGCAGGGGCAGGAAGAGGAGCUGCUCUAUUUCCUUAAUGGCACUUUUGACUGUUUGACUGCAAUGUGAUCAUCUUGUGCUCUUUCUUCAAACUGAAAGGUUUCAGCAAAAACAAUUAAUCUGGGGACGGUGGGUGAAAAGAUAACCUGGGGAAAGGAACAUUUCACAGGUUACUCCAAAGCCAGGUAGAUGGAGACAUAUUUCUAAUGUUGGCUGGGGCUGACUGCAGUUGGAGUCCAUCUGAAGGACACUGUAUGUUGCUCUAUACCAGAAUUCCUGAGCAAUGCUGGGCACUUUCUGCUCAUGUGAUAUACUUUGAAUUCCUGUGUCUAUAUAAGAAAAUAUAGACCCUCCGUGGCGCAGAGUGGUGCUGACGAUGCUGCCCAAGUGUAACCCCAGCUGCACCUGGCUCAGUGGCCCUCAAGCAACAUCCUCCAGAUAAUGGCAAGAGGCCCUCUCUACACCUUAGCUGCCAUUUGACAAUAACCACUGGCUGAUGUUUUCAGCCCACUCCUUCAUGCACCAGCAAUGACAUUUGUGCCUGCAGCACAAAAUGGGAUGGCAAGAGCAACACCUUGACAACCUGAUUUCUGACUGCAUCAAAUCCAUGUACAGGGAGCAGGGGCACAUGCACAAGACCCACCUCCAAUGUCUCAUGCGUGUUGCUUUGCCUGCUCGGUCCAUGGCUUUCCCUAUGUUGAAGAUCUGGAGAGGGCUUAUAUUUGUAUUUGCUUGAACAAGAGUAUGACCCUCCAUGCAUUUUUUUCUUUAUAUAUUUUGGAAAGUUGUUCAUUCUGCAUUUAGGCACCUCGUAAGAUAUU